RNAcentral lists this ribosomal RNA (253 nucleotides) under uncultured bacterium. RNAcentral describes it as "partial 16S ribosomal RNA". It matches the Rfam family "Bacterial small subunit ribosomal RNA", at positions 524 to 776 of the family's 1533-position model. The record is from RNAcentral.
UACAGAGGGUGCGAGCGUUGUCCGGAAUCACUGGGCGUAAAGGGCGCGUAGGCGGCUUGAUAAGGUUGCGGUGAAAGCCCGGGGCUCAACCCCGGGUCGGCCGUGGCAACUGUCGAGCUGGAGCACUGUAGAGGCAGGUGGAAUUCCGGGUGUAGCGGUGGAAUGCGCAGAUAUCAGGAGGAACACCGGUGGCGAAGGCGGGUCUCUGGGCCGAUACUGACGCUGAGGAGCGAAAGCGUGGGGAGCGAACAGG